RNAcentral lists this ribosomal RNA (322 nucleotides) under uncultured eukaryote. RNAcentral's name for it is "partial 18S ribosomal RNA". It matches the Rfam family "Eukaryotic small subunit ribosomal RNA", at positions 1470 to 1796 of the family's 1831-position model. The record is from RNAcentral.
CCCUUAGAUGUUCUGGGCCGCACGCGUGCUACACUGAGUGGAUCAGCGGGUCAGGUUGCGCGAAAGCGUUUCCUAAUCUUUAAAUCCGCUCGUGAUGGGGAUUGACGGUUGCAAUUUUCUGUCAUGAACGAGGAAUACCUUGUAAGCGCGGGUCAUCAUCCCGCGCUGAAUACGUCCCUGCCCUUUGUACACACCGCCCGUCGCUCCUACCGAUUGAGUGGUCCGGUGAGGCUUUGGGAUCUGAGCGGAAAGAGCGUUUCGCUCGUUCUGCCCGGAAAACUCAGUCGAACCUUAUCAUUUAGAGGAAGGAGAAGUCGUAACA